Molecule: ribosomal RNA, 499 nt
Filed under: Spongiforma squarepantsii
Lineage: Eukaryota; Fungi; Basidiomycota; Agaricomycetes; Boletales; Boletaceae
Description: eukaryotic LSU rRNA
Rfam family: Eukaryotic large subunit ribosomal RNA
Source: RNAcentral
CUGCGAGUGAAGCGGGACGAGCUCAAAUUUUGAAUCUGGCGGUCCCUCCAGGCCGUCCGAAUUGUAAUCUAGAGAAGCGUCUUCCGCGCUGGCCCGUGUACAAGUCUCCUGGAAGGGAGCAUCUUAGAGGGUGACAAUCCCGUCUAUGACACGGACAUACCAGGGCUUAUGUGAUGCGCUCUCGACGAGUCGAGUUGUUUGGGAAUGCAGCUCAAAUAGGGUGGUAAAUUCCAUCUAAAGCUAAAUACAGGCGAGAGACCGAUAGCGUACAAGUACCGUGAGGGAAAGACGAAAAGAACUUUGAAAAGAGAGUUAAACAGUACGUGAAAUUGCUGAAAGGGAAACGCUUGAUGUCCAGUCGCGUUCGCCGGAGAUCAACCUUGCUUUCGUCGGCUCGGUGUACUUUCCGGUCGGACGGGUCAGCAUCAGUUUCGCUCGCCGUACAAAAGCAAAGGGAACGUGGCACUCUACCCAGGGUGUGUUAUAGCCCUUCGUCGCA